RNAcentral lists this ribosomal RNA (431 nucleotides) under Pomadasys perotaei (parrot grunt). RNAcentral describes it as "partial 12S ribosomal RNA". It matches the Rfam family "Bacterial small subunit ribosomal RNA", at positions 778 to 1410 of the family's 1533-position model. The record is from RNAcentral. Lineage: Eukaryota; Metazoa; Chordata; Actinopteri; Lutjaniformes; Haemulidae.
UUAGAUACCCCACUAUGCCUAGCCGUAAACAUCGAUAAUUAGAUACCCACAUUAUCCGCCCGGGGAUUACGAGCACCAGCUUAAAACCCAAAGGACUUGGCGGUGCUUUAGACCCACCUAGAGGAGCCUGUUCUAGAACCGAUACCCCCCGUUCAACCUCACCCCUCCUUGUUCCUUCCCGCCUAUAUACCGCCGUCGUCAGCUUACCCUGUGAAGGCAUAAAAGUAAGCAGAAUUGGCACAGCCCAAAACGCCAGGUCGAGGUGUAGCGUAUGGAGGGGGAAGAAAUGGGCUACAUUCACUAAUUCAGUGAAUACGGAUAGCGCACUGAAACGUGCGCAUUGAAGGAGGAUUUAGCAGUAAGUGGAAAAUAGAGUGUUCCACUGAAGUCGGCCCUGAAGCGCGUACACACCGCCCGUCACCCUCUGCAGU